UACGUAGGGGGCUAGCGUUGUCCGGAUUUAUUGGGCGUAAAGAGCGUGUAGGCGGCCAGGUAGGUCUGCUGUGAAAACUCGAGGCUCAACCUCGAGACGUCGGCGGAAACCAUCUGGCUAGAGUCCGGAAGAGGAGAGUGGAAUUCCUGGUGUAGCGGUGAAAUGCGCAGAUAUCAGGAAGAACACCAACGGCGAAGGCAGCUCGCUGGGACGGUACUGACGCUGAGACGCGAAAGCGUGGGGAGCGAACAGG
RNAcentral lists this ribosomal RNA (253 nucleotides) under uncultured bacterium. RNAcentral's name for it is "partial 16S ribosomal RNA". It matches the Rfam family "Bacterial small subunit ribosomal RNA", at positions 524 to 776 of the family's 1533-position model. The record is from RNAcentral.